GACGAACGCUGGCGGCGUGCCUAAUACAUGCAAGUCGAACGCAGUUGCGAACGGGUGUGUAUCGCGUCGGUAACUGCAUCAUAGCGGGGGAGAACUCAUGGAAACGCUAGUGAAUACCGCACAUUGUGAGAUUGACCUUCGUUUUAUUAGCUAGUUGGUGAGGUAAAGGACCACCAAGGCGACGAUACAUAGCCGCUCUGAGAGGUGGAUCGGCCACACUGGGAAUGAGACAAGGCCCAGACUCCUAAGGGAGGCAGCAGUAGGGAAUCUUCGGCAAUGGACGUAAGUCGGACCGAGCAACGCCGCGUGAGUGAAGAAGGUUCUCGGAUCGUAAAGCUCUGUUGUUUGAGAAGCGGUAACGAACCAGAAAGGGACGGCUAACUACGUGCCAGCAGCCGCGGUAAUAC
This 407-nucleotide ribosomal RNA is filed under the name uncultured bacterium. RNAcentral describes it as "partial 16S ribosomal RNA". It matches the Rfam family "Bacterial small subunit ribosomal RNA", at positions 28 to 526 of the family's 1533-position model. The record is from RNAcentral.